Molecule: non-coding RNA, 504 nt
Organism: Mastomys coucha (southern multimammate mouse)
Lineage: Eukaryota; Metazoa; Chordata; Mammalia; Rodentia; Muridae
Source: the annotation of a RefSeq genome assembly
AUGAGUACUAACACUGAGCCUACCCUUUGCUGAUUUGCAUGUACCCAAAGCACAGCCCACUGACAUGAGGAGUUCUUCAUAGUCAGGUCACACCCUGUAGUGGAGUCAGCCUCACACAGAUCACACACAGACAUGAGUGUGCCCACUCAGCUCCUGGGGUUGCUGCUGCUGUGGCUUACAGAUGCCGGAUGUGACAUCCAGAUGAUUCAGUCUCCAGCCUCCCUGCCUGCAUCUGUGGGAGAAACUGUCACCAUCACAUGUGGAGCAAGUGAGGACAUUUACAAUGCUUUAAGUUGGUAUCAGCAAAAAUGUGGAAAAUCUCCUCAGCUUCUGAUCUAUGGUGCAACCAGCUUGACAAAUGGGGUCCUAUCGUGGUUCAGUGGCAAUGGAACUGGCACACAAUUUUCUUUGAAGAUCAACAGCCUACAGCCUGAAGAUAUUGCAAGUUAUUACUGUAAACAAGAUCAUAGUACCCUUCCCACAGUGAUACAAGCCAUAACAUAA